RNAcentral lists this long non-coding RNA (651 nucleotides) under Mytilus galloprovincialis (Mediterranean mussel). The record is from RNAcentral. Lineage: Eukaryota; Metazoa; Mollusca; Bivalvia; Mytilida; Mytilidae.
GCCCUUUUACUUGUGAUGUAUUCGCAGAUUUUAAUAAUAACAAAGUACCUAUGUUUUUCUCACCCCACUGGUGCCCCGGAACGGGAGGCGUAGACGCUUUUGCAUACGACUGGUCUUUGUAUAAUUGCUGGAUUGUUCCGCCAAUUAGAUUGAUAAGUAGGUCAGUAUUACAUUUGUCAAAGUGUCAAGGUAAAGGUGUAUUGGUUACGCCGAAAUGGACAUCGUCAGUUUUUUGGCCAAUCAUAUGGUCUUUAAAAGAAAAUUCGUUUCAUUCAUUCGUUAAAAAAUUCAUAGAAUACAAUCAGCCCAGAGGAUUUUUUCAAAAAGGAUCAGAUCCUAAUAGUAUUUUCGUCGCAGAUCGUCUGUCUUUUAAUGUGCUAGUAUUAUACUUGGAUUUUACUUCCUAACAUGUUUCAGUUAUAUAACCGACGUAAUAGUGAUCAGCAAACACACCCGUUAUGGGUAUUGUUAGUUUUGCACCCUGUGAUGGGAUUUUCCGUGACGGAAUAAAAUUGCAAUCAUAUAUUUAACCCGUUAUGGGUCUUCCCGUGAAGGGAUAUUGAAAAGAAGGAUUUUCCGUGAAGGAGUAAAAAUCUUAUCCAUAUAUAACCUGUUAUGGGUUUUUCCCGUGAAGGGACAUUGAAAGGAGGC